Molecule: ribosomal RNA, 406 nt
Filed under: Salmonella enterica
Lineage: Bacteria; Pseudomonadati; Pseudomonadota; Gammaproteobacteria; Enterobacterales; Enterobacteriaceae
Description: partial 23S ribosomal RNA
Rfam family: Bacterial large subunit ribosomal RNA
Source: RNAcentral
AAUCCAUAGGUUAAUGAGGCGAACCGGGGGAACUGAAACAUCUAAGUACCCCGAGGAAAAGAAAUCAACCGAGAUUCCCCCAGUAGCGGCGAGCGAACGGGGAGGAGCCCAGAGCCUGAAUCAGCAUGUGUGUUAGUGGAAGCGUCUGGAAAGGCGCGCGAUACAGGGUGACAGCCCCGUACACAAAAGCGCAUGUGCUGUGAGCUCGAUGAGUAGGGCGGGACACGUGGUAUCCUGUCUGAAUAUGGGGGGACCAUCCUCCAAGGCUAAAUACUCCUGACUGACCGAUAGUGAACCAGUACCGUGAGGGAAAGGCGAAAAGAACCCCGGCGAGGGGAGUGAAAAAGAACCUGAAACCGUGUACGUACAAGCAGUGGGAGCACCCUUUGGGGUGUGACUGCGUACC